GGAACUGCUCCAGUUUAAACGUCUCGGGUGAAUGUCGCCCAGCAUCCCCCUUCCUGUUAAAUACCCCACCUGCGAGACACCACGCUGCGAAGAUGCCACCAUUCGCACGUGAGGCCCUCUCCCCCACAUGUGCUAUGGACGGAAGGAUCGCUGCCGCAAUGAACUCGUCAAAAAGGCCGUACCGCUGCUGUGAAGUUCGAUGAUCGCCCGUAGCUAGGAUCGUCAUGAUUUUUACCUUUUUGUACGUCAACUAUGGUACGUAAUCGUACGCGAGAAAUGCCAUUGGGAAAACUUGAACCGAGAUGGAAAAUCAUGUAUUCCUCGUACGCGGCUGAAUGAAUGACUGAUGCGGCACGCGAAAAACCAUGACGCCCUCGGCGCUCGCCCGAUUUAUUAUCGACUGCAAGUCGUUACAAUAAUUAAAAUCUACGACCCUCGGCCGGCGCGCACGGGCCAUUAAGUGCACAAUACGCAUAGUUCCAUGGGAUGCAAUUAAGAGGGUGCCGAUUUACAUGGACGCACGCGUUUUGCAUGUCACCGUGGGGCGAGAAAAAUGGACACACAAAAGCGAACUAAAGGAAGGACGGGGACACGCGCUCCCCGCCCCGUCUGUCCCGCGUCCACCCUUCGUUCGGUCCGUUUCUCCUGGACUUUUCGGAAAAAUCCCGGCCAAGGUCGCGACCUUUCUCCUCUCCGACCUUCCCACAAGGGGACCAGAUGUGAGACCGCUUCGUCCAGGCCCAACUAGCCGCGGUCCAACGACAAUGCCGCUAAAAAUUCCAUUUUCCCCAACCAAAAAUUCUCUCCUCGUCUCAUUCUCUCUGACUACCGGCACCGGUUUUUAUCCUCAUUUCCGUAUAGGUAUAUAUCCCCUCCUCCCUUUCUCUCGUUCUCAAUGGAUUCGUAAUGGCCGAUUCCUCUUCCAGUCUCCCCUAAACGUGUAUGUUAAUGCACGCGUGUGCGCAUACUAAUUCAGGCGAAUUUCACGUCGGAAAACCCGUAGAGACCCGUGCCCUGUUAAAUGACGCGGUUCUCGAAUUUCAGCUGUCCCAGGGAAAUUUUUAUGGCCGCUGAGACAAAGCCCUCGACCCGGGCCCGGCGCAACGAGAGCGCUGUCAUUUUUACUUCCGAUGCCCCAUAAAUCCAGAUCACGCGUCUCGUUCUGAUGAGCAUUCAUGUUUAUCGAAUCGCGUCUGGGUAUUGCCUCGUAUACCUUUUGUUCGUAACGGUGCUCGAUUGAUGCUCGCUUCGUUUCGCGAUCGAUAAGCUCUCUACCCCUCCCGAAUAUCUUCGAAUUUGCGCGUGGACUCGAACAAAUAGUAACGACCUCGUCGAUGCGAGCGGCGUUAUUAUUUCAUAAUCCAAGGUCAACAUUGCGUAGGCGUGCAUCAAGGGCGGAAACGUAACGUGCGCGUGUUUGUUCAUCGAAGGAACCCCACCGCACCGGUGCAAAGAACCGAACCGAGUUAAAAUUGGGACCGGCUGGCCACUGCGAAAGCAGCUGUCCUCUAAAAUGUUUAGAUCGAUUGCUCACUGAUCGCGGCUCGAAAAUAAUUGAAAAUUCGACUAAAAAUCCUGUUUUCACGUAUAUACAUUUCUAUUCAUUUGAUUAAAAAAUGUUAGGUAGAAAAUGGUAGAGGAAAUUGCCAUUACGAGGUCAAAGAGGAUUAUCGUGGGUACGAAAUUGUCUCUUGUACGUACGACCAAUAGAAAUAAAAGAGUCUGUGUCCUAGACACUUCCGAUUCGAUUCGUACAUGGCCGAUAACGAAAUUUUGAUUCUCAGUUUCUUUAGCUGCAAGGCACGAGGUUGAAAGGGCAUCUCGAAAAGGAACAUUACGUCUCCGACAUCGUUCAGGCGACAUCAGUUAUUUCUUGUAAACAACUCUAUAAUAAGUACGUUUCGUAGUAUACGUAUAUUAAUCAGAGAAACGUAUAGUCUUUUCUUUGAAUUGUAGUUUUAAGAAAAUUGUUAUCGUAAACUCGAGUACUCGAAUGGUCAGUUCGACGCUCUUCCACAAAAAAAACGUAGGAAGAGUUCGAUUGGCAUAUAAUUUGAUAUUCGCGGCUCACAAAACUCGCUAUAUUCGAUAUAUCUUUUUUUUUUUUUCUUUCAUCUUUAAUUCUAUAUGCGAUGCGUUGGCUGUGUAUACGAUUGUACUUUUUGUUACGGGUUAUACUGUGUCGACCCUGAGUUGGUUGGCUUUCACUGCUCGUUGAUAUCUAAAUACUGUAAAACCGUACGUUUAAUCAAUCAUGCUCGUGUCACGGUUAUUACGCUUGCCGCGCUCUCCGUUAUCAUUGUUCGUUCACCGUCGUUUCUAUCGCAUCCUAGCGCGUUCACUUAUUAAUAUCUCUCAAAAUCCUCUUCCCUAUGUUUCAACUUCACUUAUACAUAUAUAUAAUAUAUUCAUAUAUAAAAUAUUGACUAGCACGAUCGCGAAAAUGAAAACCAUCGAUGUAUCGAUACAAUAUAAUAUGUAUGCACGUAUCGACGACGCUCGAACGUUCAAGUAGUAUCGUAUCUCUUGACUCCUGUUUCGUAUGUCGCUCGUAUUUCGUGGACUUGAGCAAAAAGCAAAGUGGGAUGACGCGAAUGAUUAAAACGAAGAGAAUUGUUGCUCCAACGGUUAGACACUGUCUACUAUGAAGUCACAUUUAAAAUAGGAACUUUUUUUUGAUCACCCGUUCGUGUUAGUUAUACGAAUAUGCUAUGUACAAUAAAAACGUUCCUCGAUCGGAACGUCAUAACAACAUGGCCUUCGAACGCGGGAUCCUUUCCGUUAAAAUAGGAUCGGAGACAUCCCAUUAAUUUCGAAUUAAGCAAGACAGACGAAUACGGCAAUAAAAAUAUCGUUUUGGAGGAACGUGUCAACCUUUCACUUCGGCUGACUCACGAUGACUCGUAUUUAAAUAACGAAUAAAUGGGAAUCCCGACAAACCACGUAUAUGAAAAAUAUAUAUAAACUUUCGCUAGCUAUUUCCUUAUAAGUUACAUAGGAACUAAUAACGCGUGCUCAAAUCGCAGACGCAGGAACGAAGUUGUGA
Molecule: long non-coding RNA, 3046 nt
Organism: Ceratina calcarata
Lineage: Eukaryota; Metazoa; Arthropoda; Insecta; Hymenoptera; Apidae
Exons: 3
Source: RefSeq, a predicted model, not a curated record